UGGGGAUUAUUGCACAAUGGCACGCAAGCCUGAUGCAGCCAUGCCGCGUGUGUGAAGAAGGCCUUCGGGUUGUAAAGCUCUUUCAGUAAGGAGGAAAGGAUAAGUAAUUAAUACCUGCUAGCCGGGACGUUACUUACAGAAGAAGCACCGGCUAACUCCGUGC
This 163-nucleotide ribosomal RNA is filed under the name uncultured Pseudoalteromonas sp. RNAcentral describes it as "partial 16S ribosomal RNA". It matches the Rfam family "Bacterial small subunit ribosomal RNA", at positions 355 to 508 of the family's 1533-position model. Lineage: Bacteria; Pseudomonadati; Pseudomonadota; Gammaproteobacteria; Alteromonadales; Pseudoalteromonadaceae. The record is from RNAcentral.